Molecule: non-coding RNA, 22 nt
Filed under: Arabidopsis thaliana (thale cress)
Lineage: Eukaryota; Viridiplantae; Streptophyta; Magnoliopsida; Brassicales; Brassicaceae
Source: RNAcentral
UAGAUAGGUGUGCCAAAUAUGG